AACGAACGCUGGCGGCAUGCCUAACACAUGCAAGUCGAACGAGACCUUCGGGUCUAGUGGCGCACGGGUGCGUAACGCGUGGGAAUCUGCCCUUUGCUUCGGAAUAACAGUUAGAAUUGACUGCUAAUACCGGAUGAUGUCUUCGGACCAAAGAUUUAUCGGCAAAGGAUGAGCCCGCGUAGGAUUAGGUAGUUGGUGGGUAAAGGCCUACCAAGCCGACGAUCCUUAGCUGGUCUGAGAGGAUGAUCAGCCACACUGGGACUGAGACACGGCCCAGACUCCUACGGGAGGCAGCAGUGGGGAAUAUUGGACAAUGGGCGCAAGCCUGAUCCAGCAAUGCCGCGUGAGUGAUGAAGGCCUUCGGGUCGGUAAAGACUCUUUUACCUAGGGAUGAUAAUGACAGUACCUGGAGAAUAAGACUCCGGCUAACUCCGUGCCAGCAGCCGC
This 447-nucleotide ribosomal RNA is filed under the name uncultured bacterium. RNAcentral describes it as "bacterial SSU rRNA". It matches the Rfam family "Bacterial small subunit ribosomal RNA", at positions 29 to 518 of the family's 1533-position model. The record is from RNAcentral.